AUUGAACGCUGGCGGGAUGCUUAACACAUGCAAGUCGAACGGCAGCGCGGACUUCGGUCUGGCGGCGAGUGGCGAACGGGCGAGUAAUGUAUCGGAACAUGCCCAGUAACGGUGGAUCGCUACACGACAGCGGAGAUAAUACCGCAUUAGCCCUACCGGGGAAAGCAGGGGAGCGUAAGACCUUGCACUCUUGCGCGGGCCGAUGUCGGAUUAGCUAGUUGGUGAGGUAACGGGUCACCAAGGCGACGAUCCGUAGCUGGUUUGAGAGGACGACCAGCCACACUGGGACUGAGACACGGCCCAGACUCCUACGGGAGGCAGCAGUGGGGAAUUUUGGACAAUGGGCGCAAGCCUGAUCCAGCCAUCCCGCGUGUGCGAUGAAGGCCUUCGGGUUGUAAAGCACUUUUGUCAGGAAAGAAAAGCCGCGGGCUAAUACCCCGUGGAACUGACGGUACCUGCAGAAUAAGCACCGGCUAACUACGUG
This 484-nucleotide ribosomal RNA is filed under the name uncultured bacterium. Its description in RNAcentral is "partial 16S ribosomal RNA". It matches the Rfam family "Bacterial small subunit ribosomal RNA", at positions 30 to 507 of the family's 1533-position model. The record is from RNAcentral.